Molecule: ribosomal RNA, 259 nt
Filed under: Brevibacillus borstelensis
Lineage: Bacteria; Bacillati; Bacillota; Bacilli; Caryophanales; Paenibacillaceae
Description: partial 16S ribosomal RNA
Rfam family: Bacterial small subunit ribosomal RNA
Source: RNAcentral
CGGCGGACGGGUGAGUAACACGUAGGCAACCUGCCCGUAAGCUCGGGAUAACAUGGGGAAACUCAUGCUAAUACCGGAUAGGGUCUUCUCUCGCAUGAGAGGAGACGGAAAGGUGGCGCAAGCUACCACUUACGGAUGGGCCUGCGGCGCAUUAGCUAGUUGGUGGGGUAACGGCCUACCAAGGCGACGAUGCGUAGCCGACCUGAGAGGGUGACCGGCCACACUGGGACUGAGACACGGCCCAGACUCCUACGGGAGG